GGGGGUUUAGCUCAGCUGGGAGAGCGCUUCCUUUGCACGGAAGAAGUCAGCGGUUCGAGUCCGCUAACCUCCACCA
This 76-nucleotide transfer RNA is filed under the name Chthonomonadales bacterium. RNAcentral describes it as "tRNA-Ala". It matches the Rfam family "tRNA". From Rfam's summary of the family: Transfer RNA (tRNA) molecules are approximately 80 nucleotides in length. Lineage: Bacteria; Bacillati; Armatimonadota; Chthonomonadia; Chthonomonadales. The record is from RNAcentral.